AUUGAACGCUGGCGGCAAGCCUAACACAUGCAAGUCGAACGGUAGCACAGAGAGCUUGCUCUCGGGUGACGAGUGGCGGACGGGUGAGUAACGUCUGGGAAACUGCCCGAUGGAGGGGGAUAACUACUGGAAACGGUAGCUAAUACCGCAUAACGUCGCAAAACCAAAGUGGGGGACCUUCGGGCCUCACACCAUCGGAUGUGCCCAGAUGGGAUUAGCUAGUAGGUGGGGUAAUGGCUCACCUAGGCGACGAUCCCUAGCUGGUCUGAGAGGAUGACCAGCGACACUGGAACUGAGACACGGUCCAGACUCCUACGGGAGGCAGCAGUGGGGAAUAUUGCACAAUGGGCGCAAGCCUGAUGCAGCCAUGCCGCGUGUAUGAAGAAGGCCUUCGGGUUGUAAAGUACUUUCAGCGGGGAGGAAGGCGGUGAAGUUAAUAACUUCACCGAUUGACGUUACCCGCAGAAGAAGCACCGGCUAACUCCGUGCCAGCAGCCGCCGCAG
This 504-nucleotide ribosomal RNA is filed under the name uncultured bacterium. RNAcentral's name for it is "partial 16S ribosomal RNA". It matches the Rfam family "Bacterial small subunit ribosomal RNA", at positions 30 to 523 of the family's 1533-position model. The record is from RNAcentral.